AGCGCACACGGUGGAUGCCUUGGCGGUCAGAGGCGAUGAAGGACGUGGCAGCCUGCGAAAAGUAUCGGGGAGCUGGCAACAAGCUUUGAUCCGGUAAUGUCCGAAUGGGGAAACCCACCCGCUUGCGGGUAUCCUGCAGUGAAUACAUAGCUGCUGGAAGCGAACCUGGUGAACUGAAAUAUCUAAGUAACCAGAGGAAAAGAAAUCAACCGAGAUUCCGUAAGUAGCGACGAGCGAACGCGGACUAGCCCUUAAGCUGAUUUGGUUCUAGGAAAACGCUCUGGAAAGAGCGGCCAUAGAAGGUGAUAGCCCUGUAUCUGAAAGGGCCAUUUCAGUGAAGACGAGUAGGGCGGGGCACGUGAAACCCUGUCUGAACAUGGGGGGACCAUCCUCCAAGGCUAAAUACUACUGACCGACCGAUAGUGAACCAGUACCGUGAGGGAAAGGCGAAAAGAACCCCGGAGAGGGGAGUGAAAUAGAACCUGAAACCGUGUGCGUACAAGCAGUAGGAGCUCCGCAAGGAGUGACUGCGUACCUUUUGUAUAAUGGGUCAGCGACUUACUGUUCGUGGCAAGCUUAACCGUAUAGGGGAGGCGAAGGGAAACCGAGUCUGAUAAGGGCGCAUAGUCGCGGGCAGUAGACCCGAAACCGGGUGAUCUAGUCAUGCCCAGGGUGAAGGUGCGGUAACACGCACUGGAGGCCCGAACCCACUCCCGUUGCAAAGGUAGGGGAUGAGGUGUGAUUAGGAGUGAAAAGCUAAUCGAACCCGGAGAUAGCUGGUUCUCCUCGAAAGCUAUUUAGGUAGCGCCUCAUAUGUAUCCUCUCGGGGGUAGAGCACUGUUAUGGCUAGGGGGUCAUCGCGACUUACCAAACCAUUGCAAACUCCGAAUACCGAGACGGACUGUAUGGGAGACACACGGCGGGUGCUAACGUCCGUCGUGAAAAGGGAAACAACCCAGACCCACAGCUAAGGUCCCAAAUUUUGUGCUAAGUGGAAAACCAUGUGGAAAGGCACAGACAGCCAGGAGGUUGGCUUAGAAGCAGCCACCCUUUAAAGAAAGCGUAAUAGCUCACUGGUCGAGUCGGUCUGCGGGGAAGAUUUAACGGGGCUAAGCACAGAACCGAAGCUUGGGGUGCAUAACUUUGUUAUGCGCGGUAGAGGAGCGUUCCGUAAGCCGUUGAAGGUGGAUUGAGAAGUCUGCUGGAGGUAUCGGAAGUGCGAAUGCUGACAUGAGUAACGAUAAUGCGGGUGAAAAACCCGCACGCCGAAAGCCCAAGGUUUCCUUGCGCAACGUUAAUCGGCGCAGGGUGAGUCGGCCCCUAAGGCGAGGACGAAAGUCGUAGUCGAUGGGAAGCAGGUUAAUAUUCCUGCACCUCGCGUAAGUGCGAUGGAGGGACGGAGAAGGUUAGGUGUACCAGGCGUUGGUUGUCCUGGGGAAAGGCGGUAGGUUUGGAUCUUUGGCAAAUCCGGGAUCCUUUAAGACCGAGCACCGAGACGAGCCUUUAAGGCGAAGUCACUGAUACCACGCUUCCAGGAAAAGCUCCUAAGCUUCAGCUUACGCAGACCGUACCGUAAACCGACACAGGUGGGUAGGAUGAGAAUUCUCAGGCGCUUGAGAGAACUCGGGUGAAGGAACUAGGCAACAUGGCACCGUAACUUCGGGAGAAGGUGCACCCUUUUUGGUGGCUCGUGCGAGCUAUAGCUGAAGAGGGUCGCAGUAACCAGGCCGCUGCGACUGUUUAUCAAAAACACAGCACUCUGCAAACACGAAAGUGGACGUAUAGGGUGUGACGCCUGCCCGGUGCUGGAAGGUUAAUUGAUGGGGUCAGCCGCAAGGCGAAGCUCUUGAUCGAAGCCCCAGUAAACGGCGGCCGUAACUAUAACGGUCCUAAGGUAGCGAAAUUCCUUGUCGGGUAAGUUCCGACCUGCACGAAUGGCGUAACGACAGCGGCGCUGUCUCCACCCGAGACUCAGUGAAAUUGAAAUCGCUGUGAAGAUGCAGCGUUCCCGUGGCAAGACGGAAAGACCCCGUGAACCUUUACUAUAGCUUUACACUGAACGUUGAGUUCGUCUGUGUAGGAUAGGUGGGAGGCUAUGAAACCAUGGCGCUAGCUGUGGCGGAGCCAUCCUUGAAAUACCACCCUGUCGUGCUUGACGUUCUAACCUGGGCCCAUUAUCUGGGUCGGGGACCGUGUAUGGUGGGUAGUUUGACUGGGGCGGUCUCCUCCUAAAGAGUAACGGAGGAGCUCGAAGGUACGCUCAGCGCGGUCGGACAUCGCGCACUGUGUGCAAAGGCAUAAGCGUGCUUGACUGCAAGAUCGACGGAUCAAGCAGGUAGGAAACUAGGACUUAGUGAUCCGGUGGUUCUGUAUGGAAGGGCCAUCGCUCAACGGAUAAAAGGUACUCCGGGGAUAACAGGCUGAUACCGCCCAAGAGUUCAUAUCGACGGCGGUGUUUGGCACCUCGAUGUCGGCUCAUCACAUCCUGGGGCUGUAGUCGGUCCCAAGGGUAUGGCUGUUCGCCAUUUAAAGUGGUACGCGAGCUGGGUUCAGAACGUCGUGAGACAGUUCGGUCCCUAUCUGCCAUGGGCGUUGGAGAUUUGAGAGGGGCUGCUCCUAGUACGAGAGGACCGGAGUGGACGAACCUCUGGUGUUCCGGUUGUCACGCCAGUGGCAUUGCCGGGUAGCUAUGUUCGGAAGCGAUAACCGCUGAAAGCAUCUAAGCGGGAAGCGCGCCUCAAGAUGAGAUCUCCCGGGGCACAAGCCCCCUGAAGGAACCAUGUAGACUACGUGGUUGA
This 2798-nucleotide ribosomal RNA is filed under the name Stenotrophomonas maltophilia. RNAcentral's name for it is "bacterial LSU rRNA". It matches the Rfam family "Bacterial large subunit ribosomal RNA". Lineage: Bacteria; Pseudomonadati; Pseudomonadota; Gammaproteobacteria; Lysobacterales; Lysobacteraceae. The record is from RNAcentral.